UUUUAUAGGUAUUGCGUAUAGUCUGUGGGCUUUCUGAGAAGAGUUGGGUAUUACGUUUGUCUUGUGUCUGAUAUGGCUCAAAAAAUAACCCUGAUAUUUAAAUGCUUAAUAGCAAUGUGUUUUUCUGACUUGUCUCCUAAUUUAGAAGAUCCACAUUUAGAUUCCACAGCUGCUCUCUCAAGACUUCCUUGCAAUGAACAGAAGCAUCCAGCUGUCCCAGGACUCUAUUGCUUUAAGCAAAGAACAAACUUCUCACCCCAGGAAAGAUAGCCAUCUUGUUACAUGGCCAGAAAAACUUCUCCAGAACUGGUUCAAAAAAAAUCAAGGGAACCACUGAAGUUUGCUGUUGGCACUAUUGCAACCUAUAAAAAGGAAAAUUUCCUGUGAAGUAGUAGAUUUCAAGCAAUGCAGGCAGUGCACAGCAUGAUAUUCCUGGAAUAUCCAUGGGCACAAGUCCCAAGAACUAGUUAGUUUUAAAAUACAACCAACCAUCUUAAGCUCAGCAGGC
Long non-coding RNA from Strigops habroptila (Kakapo), 508 nucleotides. RefSeq lists it as uncharacterized. The transcript is spliced from 3 exons. The record is from RefSeq and is a predicted model, not a curated record. NCBI's taxonomy places the organism in Eukaryota, Metazoa, Chordata, Aves, Psittaciformes, Psittacidae.